Oncorhynchus gorbuscha (pink salmon) is the source of this 1696-nucleotide RNA transcript. It is a transcript of the gene named cytochrome b-c1 complex subunit 2, mitochondrial-like, with no coding region annotated. Lineage: Eukaryota; Metazoa; Chordata; Actinopteri; Salmoniformes; Salmonidae. The record is from RefSeq and is a predicted model, not a curated record. The transcript has 15 exons.
AUGAAAGGGAUCCGAACUCUAAAUAAAUUAUCCAUACGAUGCUAUGCAGCCAGGAGGAGUGAUGUCCUCACUGAGCCCUUGGCUGGCCUGAAGGCUGGGGUGGCCCUGCCCCCCAGAGUGUCCAAGCUGCCCAACGGUCUAGUGAUUGCGUCGUUGGAGAACUACUCUCCGUGUCCAGUGUGGGUGUGUUUGUUAAAGCAGGCACUCGUUAUGAGACUGUGGAGAACCAGGGAGUCAGUCAUGUCCUGCGGUUGGCAGCCAACCUGACUACUAAGGGAGCGUCUGCGUUCAGGAUCUGUCGUGGUGUGGAGGCACUAGGGACCACCCUCCACGUAACGUCAUCGAGGGAGACCAUGGUUUACUCUGUGGAGUGUUUGAGAGACCACUUAGACACAGUGAUUGAGUACCUGAUCAACGUGACUAUGACCCCAGAGUUCCGGCCAUGGGAGGUGGACGACCUGACCUCCAGGGUCAAGGUAGACCGGGCCCUGGCCCACCAGUGUUCACAGAUAGGUGUCAUUGAGAAGUUGCAUGAAGCUGCUUACAAAAACGCUCUAUCCAACUCCCUGUACUGUCCUGACUACAUGGUUGGCAAAGUCAGUGGUGAACAGCUGCAGUCCUUUGUCCAGAACAAUUUCACCAGUGCCAGAAUGGCUCUUGUAGGACUAGGUGUGAAUCACUCAGUGCUGAGGCAGGUAGGAGAGCAGUUUCUCAGUGUCCGCAGUGGGGCUGGAGUUGCUGGGGCCAAGGCUGUAUACCGCGGAGGUGAGCUGCGGGUGCAGAACGGGGCCGGUCUGGUCCACUCGCUGAUCGCCAGCGAGGGCGGUGUGACUGGAUCAGCAGAGGCCAAUGCCUUUAGUGUGCUGCAAAGGGUUCUGGGAGCCGGGCCACACGUAAAGAGAGGCUCCAACGUCACCAGCAAACUGAGCCAGGGCAUCGCCAAUGCAACCACACAGCCCUUCGAUGCCACAGCCUUCAAUGCCACAUACGCUGACUCUGGACUCUUUGGAGUCUACUCCAUCGCCCAAGCCGACUCCGCAGGAGAGGUGAUAAAAGCUGCAAUCGCCCAGGUGACAGGGGUUGCGAAGGGAGGCGUGUCCGAGGACGAUGUCACCAGAGCAAAGAAGCAGUUGAAAGCUGAGUACCUGAUGUCCAUGGAGAGUUCCGAGGGCCUGCUGGAGGAGAUGGGGGCCCAGGCUCUAUCCAGCGGAGCCUACCACUCACCAGAGACAGUUACAGUACUGAUUUUUGUGUGCAUCCUACAUUUACAUUUAUUUAUAGCAGAUCAGCUGGGGACACAGAAGGGAAAUAAGGGACAAUGUGAUAAGUGUAUUAUUUUGUUUUUCCAGGCUGCGAGAAAGUUUGUGGACGGCAAGAAAUCGAUGGCAGCUAGUGGACACCUCACCAACACACCCUUCGUGGAUGAAUUGUGAAAAGAAAUCAACCAUAAACAAUGAAACAGUUAUUUAACAUUUUAACCUGGGCAGGUUGUGCCUGGCUGCUUACUCCAGAAAAAGGAACCUGGUUCUGAUAUGAAGCCCAUGACUUCAUCUCACAGCAAACGAUAAUCCUUUGUUAACAAAUCAUGUUAAAGUUUGUUCUGCAAUAAUUGUACACAGGUAUCAGGAAUAAUUAUGCUUUUUGUUGUCAAUAUCUCUGUAUAUUUGAUGUAAAUUCAUUAAAUGGUCUAUCUACA